AUUGAACGCUGGCGGCAGGCUUAACACAUGCAAGUCGAGCGGGGUGAUGGUGCUUGCACUAUCACUUAGCGGCGGACGGGUGAGUAAUGCUUAGGAAUCUGCCUAUUAGUGGGGGACAACAUCUCGAAAGGGAUGCUAAUACCGCAUACGUCCUACGGGAGAAAGCAGGGGAUCACUUGUGACCUUGCGCUAAUAGAUGAGCCUAAGUCGGAUUAGCUAGUUGGUGGGGUAAAGGCCUACCAAGGCGCCGAUCUGUAGCGGGUCUGAGAGGAUGAUCCGCCACACUGGGACUGAGACACGGCCCAGACUCCUACGGGAGGCAGCAGUGGGGAAUAUUGGACAAUGGGGGGAACCCUGAUCCAGCCAUGCCGCGUGUGUGAAGAAGGCCUUAUGGUUGUGAAGCACUUUAAGCGAGGAGGAGGCUCUUUUGGUUAAUACCCAAGAUGAGUGGACGUUACUCGCAGAAUAAGCACCGGCUAACUCUGUGCCAGCCGCCGCGGUAA
Molecule: ribosomal RNA, 503 nt
Filed under: uncultured bacterium
Lineage: Bacteria
Description: partial 16S ribosomal RNA
Rfam family: Bacterial small subunit ribosomal RNA
Source: RNAcentral